CGGGAUUGGGCGCCGAAAUGGGAUGCCGUGGGAGAGGCUCAUUCCUAAGGUGGAAAUGUUGACUACCACGGGGCCAUUAGGCACGGCGCAAGCCGGACUACCCUUGUGUAGGUUCUAUAUGAUUGGAACAAUAUUGAACUAAAAUGUAAUGUGGACAUUAGACUACUUAGUAAAUGUUGACAUUCUACUAGUGAACUUGUGGACAUCGUGCUAUUUAUAUAUAUAUGCUCAUUCAUGUUAGAAUAGCACUUAUACUUGUGGAGAUUCAUGCUAAGUAGAGGCAUAGUAGUUUAGUAAGUUUUAUUCUUGCUUAACAUACAUGUUAUUCAUUUCAUUAAAUGUUAGAUCAUACUACUUAAUGCCUCUAUAAUCUAGUGGUGUAUUUCGCUGAUGUCGGCGGCUUACCCACUGGGAACUAUUAAUUAAUAGUUCUCACGUCCUUUGCUUUGUUAUUUUUUAUUAUAGAGCCUUCCACUCCGGGUGAGGUUAGGGACCGCAGCAAGGGUAUUGCCUCUAGCUAGUUGUGAGGAGCUUCGCUAUUAGGUGGUUCACCCCUCUUUUUGUUUUAUUUAGAGAGGAUGAGAGUUUUUGUACCUAUGGAUAGAGACCACCAUUUUUGUAUAUCUAGCACUUGUAUUUGAGAUCUUAUGAUGUAUCUACUUGUGGAUCAUGAUAGUUGUUUAGUUCUUUUAUAUUCUACUUGUCAUUAGAAUUUAGUUGUGAUCAUGCUAUAAUGUCUCUAGAUGCUUGUUUAUUGUUUCUUUAAUUAGACGCCUUAUUGUUGUAGGCAUAUGGCAGGUCUGGACACGCAUCGGGUGGGCUUCCGCUGGGUCCCCGGGCGUCACAAUAUAUGGCCAAUUUGCAAAAAAAAUUUAUUAGUUUUCAGCUUUUGCAAAAGUAUGUCGCCUUUUUCGAUUUUGUAGGUUCGGGCCGAAUUUUCAGAAGACUUAUCAAAAUACCAUUAUUUUCUUUUCUCUCUCCUCUUUUUUUUUCUCUUAUUCUUUUUUUCUUUCUCCCCGAAUAGGGCGGUGGAAGCGGAAGCAGAGGCGGAGAUGGCCUGCCUCGCCUCUGACCCACGCACAUUUUCCCUCGCCCUCGCCCUCGCCUACGCACCCUCCCUCCCUCCGCCUUCCUCGCCUCCGACCCCACUGAGACCGCGCCUCAAUUGUCUUAUUUUUUUCUCUCCGAACCUCCUCCACCGCCUCCCCGGCACUUUACAACAGUAAAGAGAGUAGCGUCAUGUACUAUUUCUCUCUUUUUUUUUCUCUCGUUUCUUUUUUCUUUUCAACUACCCUCUACCGCCUCCGCGACCCUACACGAUAGUAAUGAAAACAGCGCCGCAUCCUCUUCCUCUGCCUUUGCCGGCGCACGCACUAACACCGGUGCCAGAGAAGAAAGACUCGGCCGAGCAAGUGCUGGUGAGAGCGGAGCCGAGAAAACAAUAUAGAAAAUAAAAAAAUAAAAAAAUAAUGAAUAAAAUAUAAAGAAAAAUAGUUAUUUUUACAAGAAAAUUAAAGAACCAGAGAGAAAAGAAGAAUAUGAUAAAUUUGCACUGUUUCAGGAGAUGAUAGGUUAUGGGGAACCCAAUGAUCUAUCUAGAUAUUAUCAAACACCUAGAGGGGGUGAAUGGGUGAAUAGGCCAAAAAUACAAUCUCGAUGCGAUAAAAAUAAAUGUGAAAAAUAAAAACCACACCGAGAUUUACGUAAAAAAACUCCAACUAGGAGUAAAAAAUCCACGGGAUCAACACGCGAUAACAAUCCAUUAAGAAAUAAAAGAUUAUAUGGUGAUUACUGAAUCUACGGGCUUAACCUCUCUUUUGACUCCUACGGAUCUCGCACACACCGCCGGGUUGUCCACACCCCACGUUCGAAUCCAUGAAUGUCACGUCUCGAUUCCACGAGACCCCUAACUUCAAAUCCACGAAACCUUGAUCAUGCUGAAUUAACGACGCCCAUAGGAAUCCACGAGUGCACUCUGUCGGGAGAAAGAAUAAUACGGUUGGUGAUGAUUUAUUUCUUAGAAUAUCAUUUUAGAUCUGUGGGAAUAAUCUUUAAGCAAUUCUCAAAUUGAUUUUAGAAGAUCAUCAAGAAUUAAGAUACCAAGAAUCAAUUUGAGAAAAACUUAUUGUAGAAGAUAAGAAGGACGACUACCUAUAAGCUUUUAGGGUUUCUAAAUAAUAAAAUAUACUUAAACACAGUUUAGAGAAAUCCCCCAUAUUUUAUUUAUAAGUUUGGAAGACAUUAGAAAUAGAUCAGGAUUGAAAAAAAACUAUAUCUGAAAAACUCGGUCAGGUUCAGGUUCUGGACCUUACACUAGGUUCCAGAACUUGAAGUUUUGGAACUUGAACCAAGUUCCGGAAUCCCCCAGCGUAUCUGCCAAGAGGGUAUACGGGUUCCAGAACUUGAAUCCAGGUUCCAUAACUUGAAUCCAGGUUCCAGAAUCUCCAUGCGUGACAACCAGGGAACCUUACGGGUUCCGGAACUUACUUUCAGAUUCCGCAAUCUAAACCUAUGAAACUUCUAGUUUUGAAUAUUUAUUAAUUUAUACCUAUUUUAAUAUCCUCCAAACAAAUGUAAAUGAUCAUAAAUCAUCAUCAAUAUAUUUAAACUUACCGAGUAUUUUGGAUUCAUGUUUGAGUCUUUGUGUCUUCGAUUUUCGUCUUUUCUUCUUUGAACCUUCAAGACUCCAACUUACUUCACGAAAUAUGCCAACUAAAAUCCGUAACAAUCUCCCCCUUUGGCAAUUUCAUGAUAAAACUUAAAAUUAUAUCUGUCACGCCCUGCGACCGCUAAUUUGGUCGGUUCAGGUACGUAGACUAGACGCUGAACGGACAGAGCCUCCCCUGUCCGCCUAAGGCUAAACAACAGCAAUCAUGUACAAUAAGUUGCCAGGUAAACUUAAACAACAUACAUGAAGCAUUGCGAGUACUAACAUGAGCAAACGAGCGAGAGAGAAAGUUCUAGCUAUUACAUUUCAUUCAACCAUUUACAUAAUCGAUUUACAUUUUCGUCUCCCAAAAAUGUAUACAAGUUCUGCUCUCCAAAAGGUAUCCUCACUAAUAUACAUCAUCUACUACACAUGUACACGAGGGUACUCUAAUGCAAAAGGAAAGCUGCUAGCUACUAGGGCGCUAUGCCCUUACCGCAGUCCUCGUCCGGUCCGCUCAAACUCGGCCCUGCAACAAAGUGGGGUGAGAACUACGAAUAGUUCCCAAUGGGUUCGGCCGCCGACUCCGCCAAUCUUCCCACUAGGUCUAAGCAGGCAUAAGUAGAUAGAUAGAUAUAUAAAAAUGAGCUACUACAAAGUAAGAAAAUCUGCAACAUGCUAUUAUGCCUCAAUAAAUAGAAUGAAUGUAUGAACAUAGUAAUGUACUCUACUAACAUGAUACUAUGUCUCAAUCUGCAUGAUAUAAAGAAAAUAUCUAUAUAGCAAUGAAAUCUACUAUCAAAUACUAUAUCUGUUAUCCAAUCUCAUCUCGGCUAACUCGAAGGUUACGCCCAAACUCACAUCUCAAAUCUCGUAGGUGAAGAGACUCUGCGCUACACACACCCAAGACCGCCUGCUGGGUAAUCAAGUUACCCAAACGUGACUACUACUCCGGAGCUCACUACUUGGGUGGAGCGACCACACCAAGGUUAAACAGACUAUAUGAGUAUGAUCCAAUCCUCUCACUCGAGGAUACCCUAUCUACUAGGGUUAGUGCACCUGCCGCACUAGUUCCAAUGCACAACUCGAUAAUUGGAAAAUCUACUAUCCCUAGGUUCAUAUCAUAGUGUUUCUCCUACACUAGAUUUGAAUGCCACUCGUUCAUGUCAUCAAGUUAUAAGUGUCUCAACUACACUAGUUUACAUGCCACUCGUUCAUGUUAUAAGUGCCUCUACUACACUAAUUCACAUGUCACUUGUUCUCGUCUUCACAAGUUCAAGUUCACAAUCAUUAUAGGAUUCUAUGUCACAAAACCUAAUCCUCAUGCAUCCUAAGUCCAGGUGUCAAGCUCACAAUGCUACACUACUCAGAAGGCAUGCAAGGAAAUAGAAAUGCAACCAUCUUGUAGCACACUGGACCUUCGCAAAUUGCGAGGUUCGAGUGUUCGAUUUGUAUUCCGAACUUUUCCACACUUGGUGGAGGGCCGUUGAUGGUAUACCGGCCUAAAAGUUCGAUCUCGAGAGUUUUGGCUGAGUCCUGAGAGUUUUUACUCUCGGGGACCGGUCCCUGAUAGGAGAGACCGGUCCCCCCAGUGAACAGUGCUGCGUAGCCGGCAAGGCAACCGGUCCCUGGCAGUCGAGACCGGUCCCCGAGCGCUGUCUGCCGGGGGAGCGCCGUCCGCGCAGGAGAGACUGGGUUCCCGAAGUUGGAUUUCGGGGGCAGCUGAGAGACCGUCCCAGGUCGGAGACGGUCCCUGGCGGAAAACUGCCUACGGGGCUGAUGUGAUUUUGAUUUGAGGGCUUAUUAGAUUUUGUUACUUUAGAGCCUAUAGAGAGCCCUUCUUCUCUCUCUUCCCGCUCACUUUCUCUCACCCUUUGCAUUUCUUAGAGUCAGAAGAAGAAGAGAGGGGAAGAGAGAAGAAGACAAUAGAGAGGAGCAAGAGACUUGCAUUAGAUGCUUGAUGCAUUCUUCCUUCCCCACUUUCUCCACUCUUGGUAGCUUGAAUUGCGUUGAGCUUGUGGGAGGAUAACACUUCAACCUCUACUUGGUUUUGAGCUUGGAUUGGAGCUUCUCUUGAAGUUGGUAGCUCUGGUAAUCCCCAUUUGAACAUUUUUUCUAGGUUACUAGAUAAACCACUAGAUUUGAAUUUAGGUUUAAUUUGGGGGUUUUUGUAUUGAGGGUUGAGAACCUAAUUGAUGCGUUUGGACUUAAUUUAGGUUGAUUUGAAUAAACUCUAACUCAUUUGGAGCUAGAGAUGAAAUAUUCUCACCUAGAUGUGAGUUUUCUCAUCUUAACCUCUGUUGCUUAUUCGAUUGAGUUUUAGGGUUUAAUCGUAAGUCUUCGUUAACCUUGUUCCUCAUCUUUACGGGGCCUAUGGAAGGUAGUGGGCAUCAUUCGUCGAGAGCUUGCGAAGAGUUGCAAGUUUGUGUGGUUUGGCUCGAGGAAAUGGGGCAAUGGCUCCUAUGUCUUCCCUACUUGUUGUAAAAUUAUCUUAUUAAAAUUCAAUUUCUAUGUAAAUGAAUUUAUUAGAAUUUUAGAGCAUUAAUUCAUGCCUUAUAUAUUAUGAAAAUUCACCUAUAUAGUUCAGACAUAUGAGUAGAAGCAUCAUCACGAGAAAAGGUUUAAUUUUUGCAAGUGAAACAUCUCAUUAUAAGGAUUAAACUUGAAAAAUGUACUUUGAAAUUAUACGUGCCAUGCUUUACACAUAGAGAACAGAUGUCAUAAAGGGGCACUUGCAAAUAGUAAACUAUGAAACGCAACGUAGCAGACAUAUUGGUAGGCCACCAACUAUCUGCUAUAUUCAUUGUUAAGACAAUGACGAAUAGGGAAUAGGCCUAUGAGAUUCGUGUAUAAUAUUAUAUUCCAAUGUACUUAGCGUGAGGACUGUACUUGUGAUAGAUGUCUUUGACUACUUGCCAUUGUGGCUCAUAUCGCACGAUGCUUGUGCGGGUCCUCCUACAACGCGAUCCGAGAUGGCCAUCGCGAUUCAUAUCGCCGUGCGAUUGGUGCGCCGAAAGUGGAUUGUCCGUGACAGGCUCAUUCCUAAGGUGGGGAUGAUGACUACCACGGGGCCAUUAGGCUCGGCACCGGCCAGACAGCCUACGGGUGGGUCUCAGGGCCAUAGACAGCCUUCGGGUGGGUCUCUUCAGAUUUGACUUUGAGUAUUCAUUAUGACAUGCGGACAGAUGAUGACUUAGUGU
This 5847-nucleotide long non-coding RNA is filed under the name Ananas comosus (pineapple). RNAcentral describes it as "long non-coding RNA (ACOM_LNC042216)". The record is from RNAcentral. Lineage: Eukaryota; Viridiplantae; Streptophyta; Magnoliopsida; Poales; Bromeliaceae.